CCUACGGGAGGCAGCAGUGGGGGAUAUUGCACACUGGGGGUAACCCUGAUGCAGCGACGCCGCGUGGGUGAAGGAGCGUUUCGGCGCGUAAAGCCCUAUCGGCAGGGAAGAAGGAGGCCGGUCCCUACCUAAGAAGCCCCGGCUACCUACGUGCCACCAGCCGCGGUACUACGUAGGGGGAAAGCGUUAUCCGGUUUUACUGGUUUUAAAGGUGGCGCAGACGGCAGCGAAAGCCAGGAGUGAAGGCCCGGGGCCCAACCCCGGGACUGCUCUUGGAACUGCGCGGAUGGAGUGCAGGAGGGGCAGGCGGAAUUCCUAGGGUAGCGGUGAAAGGCGUAGAUAUCAGGAGGAACACCGGUGGCGAAGGCGGCCUGCUGGACUGCGACUGACGUUGAGGCCCGAAAGCGUGGGGAGCAAACAGGAUUAGAUACCCCUGUAGUC
Molecule: ribosomal RNA, 441 nt
Filed under: uncultured bacterium
Lineage: Bacteria
Description: partial 16S ribosomal RNA
Rfam family: Bacterial small subunit ribosomal RNA
Source: RNAcentral